GGCAGGGGCUAAGAGAGGUGUCUCUUGUUUAGGGCUUUGAAGGCCCUUGGUUUAAAGUUUAACCUAAGCCUCUA
RNAcentral lists this transfer RNA (74 nucleotides) under Tympanocryptis cephalus. RNAcentral's name for it is "tRNA-Trp". Lineage: Eukaryota; Metazoa; Chordata; Lepidosauria; Squamata; Agamidae. The record is from RNAcentral.